UUUCCUGCGGCAUGCAUUGAAUCAUAGCUAUUCUACAGAAAUGAAAUGCACCGAAAACAAAACUCCCAUCCCACACUAGGAUUACACGUAGCCAAUAACAACCCGACCUGGAUGGUUUCCAAAAUUACUAUAUAGUUUACAUAUCGACAGUGGUCAACAUCGUACUAACAUUAGAAUGUUUCAACAUUUCAUUGCCCCCUAGUGACAUAACCUUGAUUCAAGUUUACCUCCAUGUAAUACGCAAAUAUUAUUGUUUGAACAUUCCAAAGUUUAAAGUUAUUCAGAUUCCAAACAAGCAGAGUAAAACGGACAUGACAGUGAUUAACUAGUACACACAUUCAUGUUGAGUAUGACACAAGUUCUAAAAUUAACACUACUUUCCCUUUUUGUGCUACUUAUCUUUAGAUGACAGAAAAAGAAUGAUACACUUCAAGAUAGCUUUGAUGCAUUUGUAAACAUCACUGACACGUCAUAUAUAUCAACCAAAUACAUAUAUGGAAAAUGAUCAUCCACGCGUGCAAAUCUAAAUCAUGAGACAUUUUUAACUAUAUAGGGCAAUUCACUUUUUUAAGGCAAAGACCCGACAAGGCUGGGGGCUGUUUCGAUUUUACAUAUUUCGUUCGCGCGCUGUAACAUCUUUGUUACUUGGAUAGAGUGUCCGAAUUCUUCUCGCUCGUUUACAGACCUAAUUAGACAACUGCCUGAUUGACCUCUGCGACCGGGAGUCAAAAUAAGGUCUUCAGAAAAGGACAUGAGUCGAUUCGGGGGAAUUUACAAAGACGAAAAUGUCGUCUGCUCAACGACUUGUGACAUCUACGUUCCGUCGUCCGUACCAGAAUCCUGUGCUUUGGCGCUUAAAUGUGAGCUGCAUUCGUUUGGACACUGUGACGUGUAUCUGAUUCAAACUGCCGGAGGUACGGACAUGGCAUCAGGGUCAAUUCUGGACAUACCAGGGCAAAAUAAGAUAAGGAUGGAUUUGGACCUGAACAAUAUUUUAGAAGACAACCUUCACUACACAACAAAAGACCAGUACUGGCACGAGUUUUCCCGCCGAUAUGGUUCUAUAGAACGGUGUGUGACCGUGCACUUUUGUAAGGAGGACGAGCAAUGUGAGAAGUUUUUAGAACUAUUGCAGGUCUCGUUCAGAACUCUGGAGGAGUGCAAACGACGUCGUAUCUAUCCUGAAAACACGUAUCGUCUCGUUGCAUACGAAACUACCAGGGAGAUCUGUAUUGCUAAAACACCAACCAUAAGAGAAAGCAAUUUUGAGUUGCCAUGGGAACGUGUCGGAGUUCUAGACAUUGACUUUGAAAAAUUUAAAACACCUUUAGAGGAAGAACAAGCCAUUUUUGUCCACAUAGUUUCCCAAAACUCAAAACAAAAAGCUAUUAUUUCUAAAGAUAAACCACAGGGCCACUCAUCCGCUAAUGUACUCGAUAAAAUACAGUCGUCUGACAUGAUGAAGCGGUAUCUCCAUUGCCAGAAAUGCUCCGAGUCGUUCGAUCUGGAAAAUCGGCACCCCAGACUACUGCCAUGUCUUCAUACUUUGUGUAUUCAGUGCUUGAAGCGCACAACUAUGAGCAACAAAGUCCAUUGUUCAGCUUGUGACGUCAGUUAUGACGUAUUCAACAUGGACAGAGAUUGUCCACGAGAUGACACGAGAUUUGAUUUCAUUGAGUACUGCCAGCUAAUGGACGAAAACUACAAUUUGUAUUGUAGCGUUUGUCCGGACAAAGUUGCAACACACAGAUGCAUAAAGUGUGCAGAAUGGUUGUGUUUAGACUGUCAUGAUGCACACAAAAGAGUCACGGCAACAAAAAAGCAUACUUUAUUAUCCAUAGAUGACAUGAAACUUGCAAAAACAUUAGAAGGGUUUAAACGAAAUGUGAAAUGCAAGCGUCAUUCAGAAAAUUGUGCGACGCUGUACUGCGUAACAGAAUCUUGCCAGCAAUCGAUGUGCUCCACAUGUGCUCUGAAGAAAUGCAAAGAACAGGACGUGCACAAAACGAUACGGAUCGAAAACAUUGUAGAGGAAAAACGUGAGAAAAUCAUGGCACUGAAAGACAAUGUGGAGAGAGUGGAGCGUGAUGUCACGGAUGCAAUGGAACAAAUUCAGUCCGAAAGAAAGACUAUCGAAAAUACUGCCGAUUGUGUGGUGGAAAGUAUUGAUUCAAAAUUUGAUAGCUUAUUCCAGCUAAUUGAAAAGUAUAAAGAUGAGUUAAAAACCGAGUUAAGAAAAUCGGUGAAUAUGAAGCUGGAUAUAUUAGAAAUGCAAAAACAGGAACUGGUUACUUUGAAGAAACAUAUCGUGGAGGCUGAAGAGCUGGUAGACCUCGUGAUAAGUUCUCCAAACUCUUUAGCUCUAUUACAGAUGGAACAGACAAUAAUUAAUAGACUUGACAAACUAGCAAAUGACGUUUUUGAUCAUUGUCCACGUGAGCUGUCUACUUUCGGAUUUUACGAAGACGAUUUGGCACCAAAACUCGAGCAGGUCAUCGCAGACAAUGCCCAGAUCUGGUCCUCUUCAAUAUUUCCCGACAAAUGUAUGACGAUAGUGGACGAGACUUUUUGGGAAGACGACUCUGUUAAAUUCACAGUGUUACCACAAGACUACAGAGGGAUUCCGAUCAAAACGGACUCUGUUGUGAUGAGGGCAACAAUAGAAAAUUCCGAAGGAAACACCACCGAUGGAGUUGUCACUCCCAGACCAGACGAGUAUUCCAUGAUUGACGUCACAGCAGAAGUCGUUUGUUUUGGGCGCCACAUACUAAAGAUUUACAUGGCCGAUACGCUUGUUGUAUCUGUAGUAUUUGACAGAACUCGAGGCCAUCGGAUGUUGAAAAUGCGCCUGAGACAGGUGUUGUAAAAUGUCUGGAUCUUCUGCAGGGUUGUUUUGGUCAUUCUCCAUGUCUCUGCUCCAUACAGCAAGACGGACUUAACAUUGGAGUUGAGGAUCCGCAGUUUGGUAGUAAUGCGGAUGUUCUUUGAGGCCCAUAUGUUCUUUAGCAUGGUAAACGCUGCUCGUGCCUUGCCGAUUCUUGACUUGAUGUCACGGUCUGUACCACCCUGUCUGUGCAUCACACUCCCCAGGGUUGUUGGCCCUGCGCAAACCUCUAAUAACCUCGAGGAAAGAUGGUUUAAUUUUAGAGUUUCCUUCCUAGACUGCUUUCCAUCCCUGGAUAUUGAGCACAGUCCGCCCAUUGGUUUUAUAUAAGUGAUUUCCUUCACCUAGCCUUUCCCAUAAGUGGGUAUGGCUGCAAGGCAGCAGAGGUUUGGAAUCAGAGUUUUCCUUCUCUUAGAUGAGCUGUCCUCCCAGACUGAUGAGCCCCAUCUACCCAAAGCAUUGGUUUUCAGGCGCCAAGUAACUCGCCUUCUCCCCUUCUCCUAUCAGUAGUAGCAGUUCCGCCGGGCUUGAUGCAAACCACACGAGCAGGCUAGGAGCUGGACUUGGUUGUCAGAGGCUAUUAGAGGCGCACGCCAUGAGGAGCACUUUAUAGACAAUGGGAGCUUAUCCCCAUCACCACCCCUCGGCUAUGACAACCUUUGGAACCAUUGUACAUUUUACCUGUUAAUUAUAUCAUCUUGUAUGACAUAUUGUAAUAUUUUAGGAGAGGGACUUGUAAGAGCAGGCCAAUAUUAUGAGAAAUACGGUUUUAGAUAGAACAAUGUUUUAAGUAAGAUACAAGACUCCGUCUUGGAUUGGUUCGUAUUGUAAUACAUAUUGUAAUAUUUUAGGAGAGGGACUUGUAAGAGCAGGCCAAUAUUAUGAGAAAUACGGUUUUAGAUAGAACAAUGUUUUAAGUAAGAUACAAGACUCCGUCCUGGAUUGGUUCGUCACUGUUUACUUAACUAAAUAACGUUGUACCAACCAAACGAGUUACCAUUGUAUGUGUAUAUACAACUUGACCAAAGGAUCGUCGCAAUAAAUGUUAUAAACUUUAUAGAAUAUUAUUCUUAUACAUAUGACUAUCAAGUGAAGAUAUUAUUUCAAAGUGGACCAUCAAUUGGUCAUCGUUCGUCAUAUAAAUUGUGGUCAACAAACGUAACCAUUUCUACCAUGACAAUUUAUAUGACGAUAAACAGCGGCCCAUGAUUAUGUAACUACCCCGUACCCUCGGUCUCGUUACAUGCCACGCGGCUCGUGCCAGUCCCGUGUCUGACGUACACUGUAAUAUACAAUGUAAUAGACCUUCUUCGUCAGCGGCAUCUUCGCUAGAUGAGUCAGCGGAGGCCUUGACAAAGUACGCGAAGGUCACAGCAUGCAAAGACUUUGUUUUGAAGGGCUGUGUCCAAGGUAGACUGACAAAUAGUUUCGUAAUCAUACGUCAACUUUCAUUGUUUAUUUUGCCUUAUAUUCGAUCUAAACAUGUGUUAAUAUAAAAGCUCGCUGCGCUAGUUGUUAACUAAUACUGAAAAUGGUUGUAUUUUUCCUACAGACUACAGCACAAUUUUUCCUACAGGCUACAGCACAAUUUUCCCUACAGAUGACAGCACAAUUUUUCUAACAGACUACAGCACAAUUUUUCCUACAGACUACAGCACAAUUUUUCCUACAGGCUACAGCACAAUUUUCCCUACAGAUGACAGCACAAUUUUUCUAACAGACUACAGCACAAUUUUUCCUACAGACUACAGCACAAUUUUUCUUACAGACUACAGCACAAUUUCCCCUACAGACUACAGCACAGUGUCAUAAUGAAUCAACGUUUGUGUUUUAUGCUAUAUAUGUAUUUAUUUGAAAAAUACAUUUCGUUGUAAAAAAAAAAUCAUUUUCAAGUCAAUUUUGCUCUAAUCACUAUGAAAUCAAAAGCAUUUAUUACAAAACAUCUGGACAUAAAUUUUUAUAAGGAUUUUCAAAGUUUUGAUCAACAAUUGCAAUUAUACUAAGAAUGACGAUUGGAUUAAUUAAUUUUCAGCUCCAUUUAUUAUGCUGUAUUCCUUUAUAUGUGUAGAACAAAAGCCCUCAGUAUGGUAUUCUUACAGUCAUAUGAUAUGUAUGGUAUUUAGAAUGUAAACAAUACACUGAUACCAUGCAGAAAUAGGAGAUAUUUGUGUUGUUAAUGGCUUAAAAGUAAAAUUUGACCUUGAAUAAUUUAGUUUAGCUUAAACAAUAUUUAUUUAUCUUAUCUCAAUAACAUAAAACAAACAAGCAACUUGAAUACACAAGGUAAGGAAACAAGCCAACAGGAUUAUAUAAAUCCUGAAUAAUUUGAUUAUUUAGAAAAGUGGUUGUUUUCAAUGAAUUAUGUAGUGAAGAAAAGGAAGUUGACUCAUUUAUGCUGUAAUUAAGUACAUGUAUAUUGAAUUUUACUGCAAAUAUGGAUCAAUUUGUUUCUAAAUGAAGCGUACUUCAUUUUACGAAUUUAAUUUUUUUUUAAAAAGAGUGCUAAACUGUACUGUGCCUUUAUUUGCAGUGAAACUCCGUUCUACCUUGCCACUGGGAUUAGCGCAAAGAGUUAUCUCCCUCGACUUGGGCGAGACCAAUAUCUGACAAUUGGAAUAUUAGCGUCACCAAUACAACUGCUUGGGAUUAACAUUUACUUUUGCCUAUAUUUUGUCAACGACAGAGCUAUGCUUAGAUUUUCUCGCCAUAAAUCUCAGCUUACAUGUCACGUUAAGAUGGACUAUUACACCAAAUUUUAUAUAAUGACUCAUUAUCAAAGCACUUCAUAUAUGAUUUCACCAACCUCUUAAUCAUUUCAUAUGAUUUUUUUAUGUUUUCCCAGAAUAAUAAAAAAAAAGGUGUUUGAUUGUUUGCAAAUACUGUACGAGAUUCUAAAGUCCAAAUUUUACUGUGCUUUGAUGCUUGAUGUAAUAUCUAAUAAAAGAAUGCAAGAAGACUCCAGUAGACGUUCUGAAUUGUUAAAUAAAAAUAUCUAAAGAAA
Ostrea edulis (European flat oyster) is the source of this 5885-nucleotide RNA transcript. It is a transcript of the gene named tripartite motif-containing protein 45-like, with no coding region annotated. The transcript has 8 exons. The record is from RefSeq and is a predicted model, not a curated record. NCBI's taxonomy places the organism in Eukaryota, Metazoa, Mollusca, Bivalvia, Ostreida, Ostreidae.